Nerophis lumbriciformis (worm pipefish) is the source of this 85-nucleotide non-coding RNA. NCBI's taxonomy places the organism in Eukaryota, Metazoa, Chordata, Actinopteri, Syngnathiformes, Syngnathidae. The record is from RefSeq and is a predicted model, not a curated record.
AGCCUGUGAUGACAAAUCAAAAUUUUCUGACACCUUCUAUGACAGCUGAUUCAGCUAGUGAUUCGACAUUUUCAAACUGAGGCUC